UGGGGUGUGGCUCAGUGGUAGAGCACUUGCCUAGCAUGUGUGAGGCUCUGGGUUUGAUUCUCAGCACCACAU
RNAcentral lists this transfer RNA (72 nucleotides) under Marmota monax (woodchuck). It matches the Rfam family "tRNA". Rfam says of the family: Transfer RNA (tRNA) molecules are approximately 80 nucleotides in length. Their secondary structure includes four short double-helical elements and three loops (D, anti-codon, and T loops). Further hydrogen bonds mediate the characteristic L-shaped molecular structure. tRNAs have two regions of fundamental functional importance: the anti-codon, which is responsible for specific mRNA codon recognition, and the 3' end, to which the tRNAs corresponding amino acid is attached (by aminoacyl-tRNA synthetases). tRNAs cope with the degeneracy of the genetic code in two manners: having more than one tRNA (with a specific anti-codon) for a particular amino acid; and 'wobble' base-pairing, i.e. permitting non-standard base-pairing at the 3rd anti-codon position. The record is from Rfam by way of RNAcentral. RNAcentral also lists the same sequence under 1 other name. Lineage: Eukaryota; Metazoa; Chordata; Mammalia; Rodentia; Sciuridae.